CCUGCCAUGUGCCAGGACCAUCUGGACUGGAAGAAGGUGUAUGGAAAAGGUGACAAUCAGGAUAUCAGAUAAUCCAACGCUGGAUGGGAGUAUAAACUGGAUGCAUGACCAAAGAACAGAGUAUCCUCGAGGACAGGAAUCCUGGCCUCAAAGCAGUCAUGGCAAAGAGCAAGUGGAAGACAAUUUCUGCCCAGCUGUCCCAUGGCCAGUGGGGGAAAGGAUACCUGUUUUUAUAAAGCCAGGUAUGCUGAAGUCAGAGUUUCCAAUUCUGAUGUGCUGCAAGAAUGUCUGCUAACUGUAUGGGUGUAAAUAGCAGGUGAGCCCACAAGACAAAUCCAGAUCCUUCAUAA
Molecule: long non-coding RNA, 350 nt
Filed under: Chinchilla lanigera (long-tailed chinchilla)
Lineage: Eukaryota; Metazoa; Chordata; Mammalia; Rodentia; Chinchillidae
Description: lncRNA (ENSCLAG00000023482.1)
Source: RNAcentral